RNAcentral lists this long non-coding RNA (279 nucleotides) under Elaeis guineensis (African oil palm). Its description in RNAcentral is "long non-coding RNA (EGUI_LNC026167)". The record is from RNAcentral. Lineage: Eukaryota; Viridiplantae; Streptophyta; Magnoliopsida; Arecales; Arecaceae.
CCCAUGGCUCUUCUGUCUCGCUCUACUUAUGGCUCCUCUACUCACAUCAUCUACAGCUUCUCCAUGCCACACCCUGUCCCCCCUAGCCUACGCACCUAUAGCUUCUUCACGUUAGCAUUGAUGGUAUAGACGAUGUCGGAUGUGUGAAGCUCCAUGUUGAAGUAGCAAAUGUCCUAAUUCAAAGCCGCCUCCUUGAUCCUCAUCUCCAUCAUUUCUGGAGCAAACCUCAGAGCAUAUGCAUGGUGGAUAGCACACAAUUGGGAAUUGGUGAAAUACAGG